GAUUCCCCUAGUAACUGCGAGUGAAGCGGGAAAAGCUCAAAUUUAAAAUCUGGCGGUCUUUGGCCGUCCGAGUUGUAAUCUAGAGAAGUGUUACCCGCGCCGGACCGUGUAUAAGUCUCCUGGAAUGGAGCGUCAUAGAGGGUGAGAAUCCCGUCUUUGACACGGACUCCCGGGGCAUUGUGGUGCGCUCUCAAAGAGUCGAGUUGUUUGGGAAUGCAGCUCAAAAUGGGUGGUAAAUUCCAUCUAAAGCUAAAUAUUGGCGAGAGACCGAUAGCGAACAAGUACCGUGAGGGAAAGAUGAAAAGAACUUUGGAAAGAGAGUUAAACAGUACGUGAAAUUGCUGAAAGGGAAACGCUUGGAGUCAGUCGCGUUGGCCGGAAAUCAACCUUGCUUCUGCUUGGUGUACUUUCUGGUUGACGGGCCAGCAUCAGUUUUGACCGGUGGAGAAAGUUCAAGGGAAUGUGGCAUCUCAGGAUGUGUUAUAGCCCUUGUUCGUAUGCACCGAUUGGGACUGAGGAAUUCAGCACGCCGAAAGGCCGGGUCUUUGACCACGUUCGUGCUUAGGAUGCUGGCAUAAUGGCUUUAAUCGACCCGUCUUGAAACACGGACCAAGGAGUCUAACAUGCCUGCGAGUGUUUGGGUGGAAAACCCGAGCGCGUAAUGAAAGUGAAAGUUGGGAUCCUUGUCAUGGGGAGCACCGACGCCCGGACCAGACGUUUACAGACGGAUCCGCGGUAAAGCAUGUAUGUUGGGACCCGAAAGAUGGUGAACUAUGCCUGAAUAGGGUGAAGCCAGAGGAAACUCUGGUGGAGGCUCGUAGC
RNAcentral lists this ribosomal RNA (822 nucleotides) under Coprinopsis lagopus. Its description in RNAcentral is "eukaryotic LSU rRNA". It matches the Rfam family "Eukaryotic large subunit ribosomal RNA", at positions 73 to 881 of the family's 3401-position model. The record is from RNAcentral. Lineage: Eukaryota; Fungi; Basidiomycota; Agaricomycetes; Agaricales; Psathyrellaceae.